RNAcentral lists this ribosomal RNA (257 nucleotides) under Alexandrium margalefii. RNAcentral's name for it is "partial Bacterial large subunit ribosomal RNA". It matches the Rfam family "Bacterial large subunit ribosomal RNA", at positions 882 to 1137 of the family's 2925-position model. Lineage: Eukaryota; Dinophyceae; Gonyaulacales; Pyrocystaceae. The record is from RNAcentral.
UCGGACGAAUACCACAGGGGGUAGAGCACUGUUUCGGCUAGGGGGUCAUCCCGACUUACCAACCCGAUGCAAACUCCGAAUACCUGUGAGUACUAUCCGGGAGACACACGGCGGGUGCUAACGUCCGUCGUGAAGAGGGAAACAACCCAGACCGCCAGCUAAGGUCCCCAAGUACCAGUUAAGUGGGAAACGAUGUGGGAAGGCUCAGACAGCUAGGAGGUUGGCUUAGAAGCAGCCAUCCUUUAAAGAAAGCGUAA